Molecule: long non-coding RNA, 483 nt
Organism: Dermacentor andersoni
Lineage: Eukaryota; Metazoa; Arthropoda; Arachnida; Ixodida; Ixodidae
Source: RefSeq, a predicted model, not a curated record
AACCCCCGUGAUAAUUGCACAUGUGAAAUAUCAGGUGUGAAAAAGUCAAACAAUAAUGGAGAACCUUGUUGGGUACUAACCAGCGGAUAUAAUGAUGAAGAGGAUUAUAAGCGAGGGACAUGCAAGGAUGGAAAGUGUGUAUAUACCGUCAUUGUAAAGGGCUGUGAACACGUCGAAGAGGAGAAAAGACGCAAGAUGGCCUACGGCAAUCAAACAGGCUGUGCCUUCACAUGCCAAAAGAAUGGAACAAAUGUUCAAGAGUAUGGUUACUACGGCGAGGGUGUGCCGUGUCUGCAUGCAGUUGGACCCGGAAAUUAUACGAGUGGCACAUGUGUGAAUGAAACAGGCAAACUCAUUUGCAAGCCAGUGACACCUGCACUCACCUGCUAACAACUGCUUUCACUCAAUCGCUGGAUAUUGGAAAGCAAGCCAUCUUUCUUACCAACAAUGGGAAAACGUUCAGAAAAUAAAAUUCGUCGGACC